AAGCGGGAUCUGUAGGAAGCGGAAAUUCUGAGAAGCUUUCCAAAAAUCCAAAAUGACACAACCUCAUUGUGUAAGAAAAAACGUUGAGACCUUUCCUGAGAAGGAGACUCUCUGGACCAGGCAGACUGUGAUCCAUGCUUUAGAAGAGGCAAAAACCCAGACCUAAGGAGGAAGGGACAAGGAAGAAGUUAAUUUUGCUGGUGAGGAUUGGCAAAAGCUUCUUGAGGAUGGUGGCGUUUGAUCUGGGCCUUUAAGAAGAGCAUGGGAUGACACAGCAAGAAGGUUCUCGUCAGAUGCCAGUACCUUGCUAUUGGACUUCCUAUCCUCCAG
This is a long non-coding RNA of Lemur catta (Ring-tailed lemur), 330 nucleotides long. RefSeq lists it as uncharacterized. Lineage: Eukaryota; Metazoa; Chordata; Mammalia; Primates; Lemuridae. The record is from RefSeq and is a predicted model, not a curated record. The transcript is spliced from 3 exons.